This 74-nucleotide transfer RNA is filed under the name Candidatus Woesearchaeota archaeon CG08_land_8_20_14_0_20_43_7. RNAcentral describes it as "tRNA-Phe". It matches the Rfam family "tRNA". Rfam says of the family: Transfer RNA (tRNA) molecules are approximately 80 nucleotides in length. Their secondary structure includes four short double-helical elements and three loops (D, anti-codon, and T loops). Further hydrogen bonds mediate the characteristic L-shaped molecular structure. tRNAs have two regions of fundamental functional importance: the anti-codon, which is responsible for specific mRNA codon recognition, and the 3' end, to which the tRNAs corresponding amino acid is attached (by aminoacyl-tRNA synthetases). tRNAs cope with the degeneracy of the genetic code in two manners: having more than one tRNA (with a specific anti-codon) for a particular amino acid; and 'wobble' base-pairing, i.e. permitting non-standard base-pairing at the 3rd anti-codon position. RNAcentral also lists the same sequence under 1 other name. Lineage: Archaea; Nanobdellati; Candidatus Woesearchaeota. The record is from RNAcentral.
GGGGUCCUAGCUCAGCCCGGGAGAGCACACGGCUGAAGACCGUGGUGUCGAGGGUUCAAAUCCCUCGGACCUCA